GUAGGUGGCAAGCGUUGUCCGGAAUUAUUGGGCGUAAAGCGCGCGCAGGUGGUUCUUUAAGUCUGAUGUGAAAGCCCCCGGCUCAACCGGGGAGGGUCAUUGGAAACUGGGGAACUUGAGUGCAGGAGAGGAAAGUGGAAUUCCACGUGUAGCGGUGAAAUGCGUAGAUAUGUGGAGGAACACCAGUGGCGAAGGCGACUUUCUGGCCUGUAACUGACACUGAGGCGCGAAAGCGUGGGGAGCAAACAGGAUUAGAUACCCUGGCAGUCCACGCCGUAAACGAUGAGUGCUAAGUGUUGGGGGGGUUUCCCGCCCCUCAGUGCUGCAGCUAACGCAUUAAGCACUCCGCCUGGGGAGUACGGUCGCAAGACUG
This 373-nucleotide ribosomal RNA is filed under the name uncultured organism. RNAcentral describes it as "partial 16S ribosomal RNA". It matches the Rfam family "Bacterial small subunit ribosomal RNA", at positions 527 to 896 of the family's 1533-position model. The record is from RNAcentral.